This 497-nucleotide ribosomal RNA is filed under the name uncultured bacterium. RNAcentral's name for it is "partial 16S ribosomal RNA". It matches the Rfam family "Bacterial small subunit ribosomal RNA", at positions 28 to 507 of the family's 1533-position model. The record is from RNAcentral.
GAUGAACGCUGGCGGCGUGCCUAAUACAUGCAAGUCGAGCGAACGGACGAGAAGCUUGCUUCUCUGAUGUUAGCGGCGGACGGGUGAGUAACACGUGGAUAACCUACCUAUAAGACUGGGAUAACUUCGGGAAACCGGAGCUAAUACCGGAUGAUAUUUUGAACCGCAUGGUUCAAAAGUGAAAGACGGUCUUGCUGUCACUUAUAGAUGGAUCCGCGCUGCAUUAGCUAGUUGGUAAGGUAACGGCUUACCAAGGCAACGAUGCAUAGCCGACCUGAGAGGGUGAUCGGCCACACUGUAACUGAGACACGGUCCAGACUCCUACGGGAGGCAGCAGUAGGGAAUCUUCCGCAAUGGGCGAAAGCCUGACGGAGCAACGCCGCGUGAGUGAUGAAGGUCUUCGGAUCGUAAAACUCUGUUAUUAGGGAAGAACAUAUGUGUAAGUAACUGUGCACAUCUUGACGGUACCUAAUCAGAAAGCCACGGCUAACUACGUG